This is a long non-coding RNA of Pan troglodytes (chimpanzee), 424 nucleotides long. RefSeq lists it as uncharacterized. The record is from RefSeq and is a predicted model, not a curated record. NCBI's taxonomy places the organism in Eukaryota, Metazoa, Chordata, Mammalia, Primates, Hominidae. The transcript has 3 exons.
AGUAGAGGGCGCACUCUUGUGAGCGGCUUUUGUACCCAGUUGCUUCCUGGCUGCUUUACGGUCGAUUUGCAGGCAGUCCGCUUUGUACAAGCCAUGGUAUAGAGGCUUCCUUAUUUACCUCCCUUAUCCUUCAGCUUGGAGCCCUGCGAGCCAGAGGCGGCGCUGGCUUGGAGAGUGAUGGCGGCAUGGGGGUGCGGUGGCGGCUGCGAACACCUUGAGGAUGGGUCUCAUUAUGUUGCCCAGGCUGGACUUGAACUUCUGGGCUUGAGCAAUUCUCCCACCUCAGCCUACCAAGCAGCUGGGACUACAGGUCUGCACCACUGCACCCCACCCAUUCAAGUCCACAUCCCCAGAAAUGAGGAUAAUGCUUGGCACAAGGUGUUUAUUAUUCCCUUGCUUUUCUUCAUAAUUUCACCACAUAAAU